This 75-nucleotide transfer RNA is filed under the name Marmota monax (woodchuck). RNAcentral's name for it is "tRNA.Ala". The record is from RNAcentral. Lineage: Eukaryota; Metazoa; Chordata; Mammalia; Rodentia; Sciuridae.
UGGGGUGCAGCUCAGGGGUAGAUGCCUGCCUGCCUAGCACCCACAAGGCCCUGGGUUCAAUCCCCAGCACCACAA